UACGAAGGGGGCUAGCGUUGCUCGGAAUCACUGGGCGUAAAGGGCGCGUAGGCGGCCACCGCAAGUCGACUGUGAAAUCUCCGGGCUUAACCCGGAAAGGUCAGCCGAUACUGCGGGGCUAGAGUGCAGAAGGGGCAACUGGAAUUCUCGGUGUAGCGGUGAAAUGCGUAGAUAUCGAGAGGAACACCUGCGGCGAAGGCGGGUUGCUGGGCUGACACUGACGCUGAUGCGCGAAAGCUAGGGGAGCGAACGGG
This 254-nucleotide ribosomal RNA is filed under the name uncultured bacterium. RNAcentral describes it as "partial 16S ribosomal RNA". It matches the Rfam family "Bacterial small subunit ribosomal RNA", at positions 524 to 776 of the family's 1533-position model. The record is from RNAcentral.